CAGAACCAUGGGUUGACCCUUGAGUUGACCCACGGACCCAUGGAUUCACCCAUGGACCAAUCAAGUGACCAAAAGUUGACCCACGGAUCCAUUCGUUGACCAACGGAGCCAAUCGUUGGCCAACGGAACUGAGGGUUGGCCAUUGGGUUGACCCACGGACCCAUAGAUUGACCCCCAGAGCCAUUUGUUGACCAACAGAACCAUGGGUUGACCCUUGGCUUGAUCCACAGACCCAUAGAUUGACCCACGGACCAAUAAAGUGACCAAAGGUUGACACACGGAUC
Molecule: long non-coding RNA, 284 nt
Organism: Calypte anna (Anna's hummingbird)
Lineage: Eukaryota; Metazoa; Chordata; Aves; Apodiformes; Trochilidae
Exons: 3
Source: RefSeq, a predicted model, not a curated record